Megalops cyprinoides (Indo-Pacific tarpon) is the source of this 858-nucleotide long non-coding RNA. RefSeq lists it as uncharacterized. The transcript has 3 exons. Lineage: Eukaryota; Metazoa; Chordata; Actinopteri; Elopiformes; Megalopidae. The record is from RefSeq and is a predicted model, not a curated record.
GCCAUCAUUACUAGCGUACUAACUGGCUUGCAACUGAUUAAGACUGGAGUACCUUAUAAUAAGGUGGAUAGCUAAUGGAGUCCAGCACCAAAAGACACACACAAUAUUGGACUGUGGAGGAGACCCAGAUUCUCCUAAACAUCUGGGCAGAUUCCAGCGUCCAACAGCAGCUGGAAGGUGCGCUCCGUAAUGAAAAAGUUUUCAGGCAAAUCGUGAUGGAACUGGCAGCGCUAAACAUACACCGCAACGCGAAACAGGUCCGUGAAAAGAUUAAAAAACUAAAACAACAGUAUAGGUACAUUAAGGAACAUAACAGUCAAAGUGAUGCUUAUCGCAAAGGAGGCAAAUGGUUUGAGAUAAUGGACAGUGUCUUGGGAGCCAGAGUCGGACCACGACCUGGAUGCAGCGGCGAUGGUUUAUUGAAUUCGGCAUCAGCGCGAGAGGCGUUACAACCGGAGGAAACCGGUGUUGACAGCGAAUUUAGUGAAGACGAAAGCAGUUCUUCAACCCCACGAGACAGAUGCGCUUCCCCCACCGAAAAUCCUUCCAACUUGCUGGAAAGACCUCCCACUCUUAGUUCCACAACACUGCCUCCACUGUCUCCAAGGACCAGACCUGGGAAAAGAAAACGAACUGUGACAUCUAAUACACCCCACGAGCUGGUCCAGUGCAUUCAGGAAUCGGAUGAAAAUUACCUCAGGUGUUUUCGGGAGAUGUUGGAGGCGAGAGAGAGGGAGAUUGCACAGGAAAGGGAGAUGAGAGAACGGGAGAUGGCGCAGGACAGGGAGCUGAGACUACGAGAGAUGGAGCUGAGGGAACAGGAGGCGGCAAGGUUUGUUGCAGUUUUCAGCCAAAUGG